RNAcentral lists this transfer RNA (70 nucleotides) under Jumnos ruckeri. RNAcentral's name for it is "tRNA-Trp". The record is from RNAcentral. Lineage: Eukaryota; Metazoa; Arthropoda; Insecta; Coleoptera; Scarabaeidae.
AAGGAUUUAAGUUAAUUAAACUAAGAACCUUCAAAGUUCUAAAUAAAGACUACUUUCUCUUUAAGCCUUA